This 10499-nucleotide long non-coding RNA is filed under the name Nicotiana tabacum (common tobacco). Its description in RNAcentral is "long non-coding RNA (NTAB_LNC015812)". Lineage: Eukaryota; Viridiplantae; Streptophyta; Magnoliopsida; Solanales; Solanaceae. The record is from RNAcentral.
UCCCAUAUAUAGCUCCCUGUGGAUAUCGAUCCCGAUAAUUGUUGGGUACUAUUAUUGCAUUCGACCGUUUCAUAACCUUGAUUUUGAGGUGUGAAAUUGAACGAGAUCAAUUUUUGGAAUCGUUAGCUUAAUCCCUUGGGCUUUUACUCAGGCUUCAAUGCUCCAAAUCACUCGAAUUCAUUCCAUAACAUCUACAUAGCUAAGAAUUACUCCUACAAGGCAUAAAACACAUAAUAAGUACAAAACACUAUCAAUUAAAGCUCAAACAUGAAUAAAGUACAGUAAAUUAGAGAGCAAUAAGUGACUAAAACACGAGAUUAUAGCCUACCAUCACUAAUGCAGCGCAAACUCCUCCACCAAUUAAUACAACGACUUUGGAAAACCCGCGUUCAGGGCUUGAUAAUUCUGGAAGUGGAGAAAUUCCUAAUGAAUCUCGUGAUGGAGGGUCAGGUACACCAAAUAAUUCUAAUUUACAAAGUUUAGUACUAACUUUGUAGAAACAGUUGAAGGAAUAAAAUAAUCGUAUAGAGCAGAUACCUGGUGUACCCCCUGUGAUCAAAGGGGUGGAUAUUGAAAAAUAUUCACAAUAACCCUGGAAGACAAGUGCGACACCUUUACCAAUUCCCGAAAAGUUUAAAAUGCUUGAAAUUCCCAAAUAUAACGGAACAACUGACCCUCGAGAUCACGUAAUUGCGUUCACUACCGGCGUGGAAGGCAAUGAUUAAACCAAACAGGAAAUCAAAUCGGUUUUGGUUAAAAACGUUUAGUGAAACACUCACAAAGGGUAUUCUAUUUUACCUAGAAAUUCUAUUUAUUCUUUUGCUAAGCUUGCAGAUUCAUUUAUAAAAGCAUAUUUGGGAGCUCAAAAAGUUAAAAAAAUGAUGGAAGACAUCUUUAAGGUUAAACAAGGGAGUACAAAAUUGCUUAGGGAAUUCAUAGAUAGAUUCCAGCAAGAGAGGAUGAUGUUACCUCGAGUACCUGAUAACUAGGCAGCUAUGUCAUUCGCAAGCAACUUGAACGAGAAAAGUUCAGAAGCCAUGAGGAGGUGGAAAGAAAGUUUGCGAGAAUUUUCUGUAACAACUUGGAACAAUGUGUACAACAGGUACAAUACGAAACUGUAGAUAGAAAAAGAUACGGUCGCACAGCCAAGGGCCGAUGAAAGACCAGGAUCGAGACAUUCAGAAUCAGAAAGGAGGUCUGGUAAAAAUAGGUACGAGCCGUACAUGAGACCUGUAGGGAAAGAUUCUCGAUCUAAACAGGAGAAUGCAUGAUUCGAUUCAAUACCAAGGCAAAAGACGCGAGCAAGAAUAGGAGAUUACACCUUUAACAUCAACACCUACGAGUUAGUGGAUGUGUUAAGAGGUAUUGGAGAUAAGGUGCAGAUGCGAUGGUCUAAAGGAAUGAGAUCAUAUCCAAGAAAAAAAAAUCCAGAUUUGUGAUGCGAGUUUCAGAAUGAUCAUGGCCAUAGAACAGUAGAUUGUAGGCUUCUGCAAGGAAAGGUCGAGCAUUUAUUGAAGCAGGGUUAUCUUACUGAUCUGUUUAGUGAAAAAGGGAGACAAUCAUACAUGAAGAUCAGACAAUAGCCCCUGAAACCUCCAUCACCAAAAAGAAUAGCCAACGUUAUAACUAGAGGAGAUGAGGUUAAUGAAAUAAAAUAUACAGCCGCGAAAAAGACAUCAAAAUUCACGGUCACUCAUGGAAAGCGAGUUCACCAAGUCUUGGAUAGCGACAGUAUAACAUUCAACGAUGAGGAUGCGGACAGCUUGAUGAUUCCUCACAACGAUGUGCUGGUAAUAUCUUUACUUGUAUAUGAUACUAAUGUAAAACGAGUUUUGAUUGAUCUAGGUAGCUUAGUGAAUAUCAUUUUACUAAGGGUGGUGAAUGAAAUCCAACCUAAUGAUAAGGUCAUACCAAAAGCACGGUCCUUGUCCGGGUUUGAUAAUUCAAGUGUUAUUACAAAAGGGGAAGUUGAAAAAAAAUGCAAAAAGUCAAACCCCUGCAAAAAGCUCUAUUCUCUCUCCUUUCUUGGCGAUUCUAUGGAGACUUAGCAGCCAUGGAUGCAUUAAUCUCUCCCCAGCCUUUUGCUGUGGGAGAGGCUGCCUCAAACCCUAAAGAUUUGUCCAUAAACCCUAGCCAAUCAAUUUCCUAUGCUACACGCUUACAUACAAAUCUAGCAGAUUCAUCUUUCCCCAAAACUAACCUAAAACCAGUCGAAAUUAUCCACGGAAUUCCAACUCUUUAGUUAACUAUUGAUGAACGACAUGAAUUUGCAAAGGAAGAAGGUCUUCAUCAAGCCAGUGUUGUGAAGCUUUCAACCGGUGGCCCAGAUUUAGCAACGGUAAGAACUCUACUACCAAAACGUUUUGGUAUUAAAGGGCAUUAUUUGAUUGGAUUUCUCCUAGACAACUGUUGCUAAGAGUUGAUCAAUAUGAUGAUUUCGUCAAUGGUUUGACAAGAUCAGUCACAUAUAAUACGCACAAGGGGAAGGAGCAUCAGGUUAGUGUGUUUUCAUGGUCCAUUGGAUUUACCAAGGUAGUGAUUUCGAUUUCACUACCACACUGGUCACCGGAGUUUUUUGCAAAGAAAGCUUUAUUAUCCAUUGCGUCUGCUAUGGGAAAACCCUUUUCCAUUGAUAAGGCAACUCAAAUAAGAUCUCGUCCAAGCAUAACAAGAGUGAAGGUGAUUCUGGAUUUAAUGGACAAACUUCCUGAGAAGGUGCGACUUCAAUAUGUUGAUUCUACAACUGGUAAGAUAGUAGAGGAGUUCUAGGAAAUUGUUUAUGAUAAUUUGUCGUCAUAUUGCUGCAUUGUAAACACCAAGGUCAUGAGGAUACAGAGUGUCAUCGUUUGAAAGGAAAAACAAUAGCAUCAACUCAUGAUGUGGAUGAUCUAGUCGAGGAAGAUGUUCAAAAUAUUGAAACAUUACAAGGUGAUGCCAGGGACUUUUUGAAUGCAAAGAAAUAACAAAAUUUUGAGCUUGCUAAAACUAUAGGGAACUUAGUUGAUGCUGAACCAGGAAGGUCUUCACACGUUUUGGUGGUAGGCACAACAAAUGAGAAGGACAAUCCUAAUCCUAGUGUGAUGGGGACUGAUGUUGUUGUUCAGACUGUCCCAGCUGGUGUUAUUGGUCAUGGUACAGGUUUGAUUCAAGAUACUAAUGGUAAUGAACAACAAGAGGUUACACCGGUUGAUCAAAGAGGUAGGAGUGGUAAGGUUGAUGAUAUAGAAAUUGGGCAACUGAGUAGUGAUCAACAGAAACCUGUUUCUAAACUCCCUCGUGACAUUCCAGCUGCUACUACUUUAGUGACGAUUUACCAGGUUGUUGGUUCUGCUCUACAAAAUCAUUAUAUUGCACAAAAUGCUCCUGGGGUUCAAACGAUUAAUGAUCGAGGUAUAGUGCAUGCACAUAAUAGAAAAUACUGGUGUAAGAGCUAAAAAAACCAGCAUGUUCUUGUACAAACUCAAAUAACACCAAAGUAUAUUGUAUUGAUAAAUUGGCAGUAAUAGGAACAACUCAGUUAAAGGAAAUUACAGAGAACUCAAACACCACAAGAAUGGGGAUGAGAAGACACGGAGAGAAGGGAGAUGAGAAGACACGGAGAGAAGGGAGAUGAGAGGAUACAGAACUUUCAUAUAAUACAAACGUCAUGCAAUUCUUAUUCUACUAGGUAUUUAUAGGGAAUGCUAAAUCCUAUUUUCUUUCUUCACACUUCACGUAUUCCAGCACUCUGCUGCCAAACAAAGUCUAUUAAUUUUGUUGGAUGUUUUUUUUUACUCUUAUGUUGUGCCUCACAUUUUCUGUUACUUGAGGAGUGCUGAUCUGGCUGCUGACUUGGUCAGGUGCAUGUGCAUUUUUAGCUCUAUCGGUGUUCAUAACAUUACUCACAUCCAAACAAUGAACCUUGUCCACAAGGUUCACGCCCGUAGCAGUAGAAGAAGAGUUUUUGAGAUGCAAGGGAGUGAUUUGUUGUUCAGGUUUUCCUGCACACUUCUUGAGCAUUGAAAUAUGGAAGACAGGAUGAAUUGAAGCCACCUCGGGUAAGUCUAAUUUGUAAGCCACUAGACCAAUGUGUCGCAACACCUUGAAGGGUCCAAAAUACUUCCUAUCCAUCUUGUGCUUCUAAUGGGAACACAAAGAAUGUUGUUUAUAAGGCUGCAAUUUAACAUAUGCCCAAUCCUAACCUGCGGCAUGACAUCCGUGCACUUUCGAUCAGCAAACUUCUUCAUACGACUCUGAGCACGUAGUAAAUCUGCCUUGAGGGCCUCUAGGACCUCAUCACGACGCAGGAAGAACUGUUCCACUAGGUUGUGAGAACUGCCAUCCAGAACAAAACGAGCUAUAGUGGGAGGAGUGUGGCCAUACAAGGCCAAAAAAGAGACAUACCUGCCGAGGUUUAAAAAGAAGUAUUGUACCAGUACUCCGCCCAAGGAAGAAUGCUGACCCAAUCCUUUGGAGAAGCAGUGAUGUAGCAACGUAAAUACUGCUCAACACAUUUAUUGAGGACCUCAGAUUGGCCAUCCGUCUGGGGAUGAUAAGCAGUGCUCAUGGCUAAAGAUGUUCUCUGGAGUCGGUUUAGUUCCUUCCAUAACACAUGUAAGAAACAGGGGUCACGAUUAGUGACAAUGGACUUCGGAGGACCAUGAAGCUUGAUGAUGGGAGAAACAAAAGCCUCCGCAACAGUCAGGGCCGUGAAAGUAGUUGGAAAGGGUAUAAAGUGGCCAUAUUUCAAUAAUUUGUCAACUAUUGUAAUGAUGGUUGUCUUGCCACGAGAUAGAGGCAAGCAAGUCGCAAAAUCCAUGGUGAUCUCCUCAAAGACUUGUUCUGGAAUCGGUAGGGUCUGUAAUAAGCCAGCUGGAUAAUGAUGUAGAUCCUUCAUUUGCUGGCAAGUAGGACAAGUAGCUAUAAACACUUUGAUGUCAUGCCGUAUGGUUUUCCAAUAAAAAUUUGAGGAUAAGCGAUGAAAGGUACGAGCAAUGCCAGAAUGUCCCCCGAUUGGUGAAGAGUGGAACUCAUGGAAUAAGUGUAAACAAAGUGGCGAAUCUGUAGGCAGUACCAAACGACUUUUAAAGAAUAAGAGUCUGUCACGAAAUAAAUAAUCGGGAUAUGCAGUAGGAUCAGAUUGAAGGCCAUGGUGAAUAGACAAUAAUUCGGGAUGCACCUUGUUUGCUUGGCGUAAUGUGUCAAACAACUGAAAGGAUUGACUAGAAAUAGCCAUAAGGGAAGCAGUUGGCGUUCGAGACAAGGCAUCUGCGACGAGGUUGUGCUUCCCCGGUCUGUACAUAAUAUUAAAAUCAUAACCCUACCCAACCAUUUUUGUUGCUCCGCAGUUUGUAUUACUUGAUUAGUGAGGUUCUUAAGUGCUUGCUGAUCAGUGAUGAUGGUGAAGAGUCUCCCCAAUAGAUAUUGGCGCCACUUACUAACAGCUUGAGUGAUAGACAACAUUUCUCGCACAUAAGUAGAAGCCUUCUGCAUUCGAGGACAGAGCCUUAGACUAAAAUAUGCAAUUGGAUGACCUCUCUGAGAGAGAACAACCCCAAUGAUGGUCCCUGAUGCAUCAGUUUCAACUUGAAAUGGUUGAGUGAAGUCAGGUAAAGCCAACACUGGCGUAGAGCUGAGAUAAUUCUUAAGAGUCUCAAAGGCAGUUUGAGCUAGGGGGUCCAAGAGUAAGAGUCAUGACGCAACAAAUCUGUCAAUGGGCUAGCAAUCAUAGCAUAGUUACGGAUGAAACGCCAGUAAUAUCCGGCGAGCCCCAAAAAACUGCAAACCUCCUUAAAAUUGCGAGGCACGGGCCACUGUUGAAUAGUGGUAAUCUUUGUAGGAUCCACUGAUAACCCUUGUUGUGAUAACACAUGACCUACAUAGUCCAUUGUCUCCUGACCGAACAUGCAUUUAGUGAACUUAGCAACCAACUUGUAUUGCCUCAACGUGGAUGGAACAGACUGGAGGUGGUCCAAAUGAAGCUCCCAUGAUGGGCUAUAAACCAGAAUGUCGUCAAACAUACCAAUACAAAUCGCCGCAAAAAGGGGCAAAACACAGAAUUCAUCGUAGCUUGGAAGGUGGAGGGUGCAUUGGAAAGCCCAAAGGCAUUACCAAAAAUUCAUAAUGGCCCUCGUGUGUGCGAAAUGCAGUCUUUGCAAUGUCCUCUGGUUUCCCUCGAAUCUGAUGAUACUCGGACAGAAAAUCGAGUUUAGAAAAAUACCUUGCACCAUGUAAUUCGUCAAAUAAUUCAUCAACUGUGGGAAUUGGGAAUCUAUCUCGUAUGGUGAUAGCAUUCAAGGCCCUAUAAUCAACACAAAACGCCGAGAGCCAUCCUUCUUACAAACAAGCAACAUAGGGGAAGAGAAGGGUUUCGCAGGUGGUAGACUAUGUGGCUUAGUAAAACUAUCUUCGAAUGACUCCAAUAAAGUAGACAAUGUCGGGGGAGGAUCAGGGGACUUCGGAAGUGAAACGCCAAUUAACUCCAAAUGAUAAUAGGUAUCAAUAGCAUCUGUAGUGAAAAUGCGCCUUAAGCACUGAAGUUGGACCGGUUGCACAUCUGGAAAUGACUCACCUAGCCACUGGACCUGCUUGUCAUUCAACACAAAUUCAAUACCCACUGGCCAUAGUCAGUCACCACACGACCCAAAGUAGCAAUCCACGAAAUUCCUAAGACAAUGUCAGAGCCAUACAUAGGCAGGACAAAGAAAUCCAUGGUCAGAAGACACCCUUGAAUGCUAAGCGGAACUUGGCGGACAAGGCCUGCACAUUGAAGACAUUGCCCACUUCCUACCAUAACUGAGAAGGGAGGAAUGGGUUCUACAGCCAAUCGAAGGAAAUUAGCCACACUAUUUUGAAUAAAGUUGUGUGUGCUUUCAUUGUCAAGCAUGACUUGCAUUGGUGAGUGUUGAAUAUAGCCAGUGAAUCUAAGCGUAGAAACAGUGUUACCUCCAGCCAUGGCGUGGUAAGAAAUGGAAGAAUGGUGCAUCACCUCCAAAUUUUGAAGCUCAUCAACCAAUAUUUCAUCUGCCAUAGUUACAUCGGGUAGAGGCUCCUGCUCAAGUGCUUUGUGUUCGAGCAAUAAUAGUUGCGGGGGAGUCUUACACUUAUGGCCCGCGGAGUACUUCUCAUCACAAUGGAAGCACAACCCUUAUUCCCGACGUUGCUGAACCUCGACUGGUGAAAGACGUUUAAUUGGAAGACGAGUGUGGGAAUUACUUUGUGUAGAGAAAGUAGGGUUGGUAGGAGGGGUGGGGAUCUAGGAAAAACUAGUUGCAGCGACCCUCCCCACUCCAAUACAAUUCUCUACUCAUGGGUAUGGGCCAAGUCAAAGACCUCAUCUAAUGUUUUGGGCUUAUGGGCCAAAACAGCCGUCUACAUAUCAGCUCUAAGGCCCGAAGUAAACACAGGAACUAACCACGAUUCCGGAACGUCAUUAGUUUCAUUGGCAAUUGAUUCAAAUCGAGCUUGGAACUCAACGACGGUGGACGUCGGUCGGAGCUUUGAUAAACGACCCUCUGGUGGAAGUAAGGAACGCUUCUGAAAUCGGAUCGUCACUUUCAGGGCAAAAUGAGGCCAAUCACUCAGUUUCUUGUUGCGGAACUACCACCGAUACCAUUCGCGGGCCUCACCGUCCAAAUAGAAUGAUGCAAAGGAGAGUUUGUGAUCCUCAGAGAUAUGAUAGAAAUCAAAGUACCUUUCUGCGUCAAAGACCCAACCCUCUGGAUUAGCACCAGAGAAGCGAGAGGAUAAUUGGCCUCACCUGUGGCAACUGCUUGAGAGUACAAUGAAUUGGCCACCUGAGACAUCAAAUCCAAGAGUAGCUUCUGCUGCCUAGCAAAGGCCGUAGUAAGAUAGCAACGGAGACUACGAGAUCCGCGAUCUCCUUAGAAGACGAUGAAGACAGCAUAAUGUCAGUAGCAGUGGAACUCGAAAUCCAGUCAUGGAUCUGGAAUUAGUGAAAGCACCAAUGGUACAAACUCAAAUAACACCAAAGUAUAUUGUAUUGAUAAACUGGCAGUAAUAGGAACAACUCAGUUAAAGGAAAUUACAGAGAACUCAAACAUCACAAGAAUGGGGAUGAGAAGACACGGAGAGAAGGGAGAUAAGAGGAUACAGAACUUUCACAUAAUACAAGCCUACUGUAAUUCUUAUUCUACUAGGUAUUUAUAAGGAAUGCUAAAUCCUAUUUCCUUGCUUCACACUUCACGUGUUCCAGCCCUCUGUUGCCAAACAAAGUCUGUUAAUUUUUUUGGAUGCUUCUUCACUCUUAUGUUCCGCCUCACAUUUUUUGUUAAUUGAGGAGUGUUGAUCUAGUUGUUGACUUGGUCAGGUGCAUGUGCAUUUUCAGCUAUAUCGGUGUUCAUAACAGGUUCUAAAGGUACAGAUGUGAAGAAUAUCUUUCAGGUUUUGGAGGUGGAAAAUCUGGCUGCUAAGGGACCUGGUAUUGAUCUUGUUCAAGCUUGGAUUGCUGAUAAGUUCCCUUUAGUUGUUGGGCACGUUAAUACAAGGCAGGAACAGGCUAAUGAUCAGUAAGUAUCAGGUGAAAACCAGCAAGUUAUGUUGGUGUUACUGAUGGUAUUAAGGAUAAUUAGAUCGAGAGGAAGGCAGCAACUCUAAUAACUACUGUAGGAGUUUCUAAAAAUCCUGUUGCACUAGGUGAUCUAGUUAAAAAAACCAGCAGCUCCUAUAGCUACUAAUGUGCAACAGGUAGGUGUGGAAAAAAGAGAUGGACAUGUGCUUGCUCCAUCCAAAUCUGGACAUAUUUUAGACGCUUCAGGCAAGUCUGUUACAGCUCACUUGGAGAAAGUAGUUGCACAAAAUGCAAAGGAAAAGGUUGGACAGUGGUGAGGCAGAAUACAUCACCAGGCGCAAAGAAAAAUCAGCAAAUUAUUACUGUUUCAGCAGGUCGAUAAAAUGCUCCAAUGACUGUCACCAGUCAAAACAGUUUUGAAAUAUUAGCGAACGGGAAGAGUGUUGAUAUCAAUCUACAAAUCUUAAAUAAUCCUAACAUGAUGCAACAGUUAAUACCACGUACUAUCAGUGGUGAGGAAGAACGAGGCAGUGAGAAUUUGGCUAACAAAUUUGGUUUUCGACGUAACGCUUCGGAGAACAACUUGGCUGAAAUUUUGAAGGGUGAUAGUAGAUCUCUUUCUAGCUCACCUAGACUGCAUAUUUCAAGUCCAGCAGUGGCCAAAAUCAUCAAGGAAGCCUUAGUUUCCAUGAUGUUAAAUGUCAAUCCCAUGAUCAAGCAACCUUUGGUCACUUUGAAUACAUCGGCACAAGAAGUUCCUUCCCAAAUUGUGGAAUCGUUUGGUGAGCACAGUGGUGGUUCUGGGCAGCCACUACUAUCUACAGGUAAUGAGAAGGAAGUGAUCAAGGAGAGAAGUCAAGAUUUGAGGGAGGUGAUCAAUGAAAGAACAUGCCGACAAGAGGGUCAAGUUCUUGAUCGAAUUUUGCCAAGGCUGAAAACAUGGGCAAAUCAAAUUGAGUUUGAAGAAGAGGAGAAUUGGGAGAAUGAUGAAGAUGAUGAAUUUGAUGAAUUUGCUGAACAAGAAAUUGAGGAUGACUUGCGUUCAGUUGGAUCCCCAAUCUUGCCAAACAAUCAAAUUUCCUCAACUUUGAAUCUCAAGAGAAAGCUCAACUAGGGGUGCUUAUUGGGCGAAUCGGGCGGAUAAUUACACUUAACGGUUCGGCUUAGCAAUUAUCAGAUUAUAAAUAUAAUAAUCCGCUAGCCAUCCAAUAAGACAACGGGUAGAUUGGUAUCAGAUUAAUAAUUAUCGGACGGUUAUCGGGCGGCUUAUCGGAUAAACCAAAUAGAAAUUUUUUGAACAAUAAUUCAAUCAAUACCAAAUAGUUUCAAAUCAAUACCAAAUUUUUAAUACCAUCUAAGAUCUAAACAAAUGGUAUUUUUAAAUUGAAGAGUCUUCAAGACUACUCAUACUGUCAUACAUAUAUUAACCAAAUAUGUAAAAUCAGAAAAGCACAUUCGUUCAGUAAUCAAUCAAACUUUCAGAAGGACAUUCGAUUAUGUAAUAUACAAAUAGAUAAAGGUACAACAUGUGAGAAAAAUCAAUAUUCAUAUAAAACUGGGCAACCACCUGUAAUUGUAUCAAGAAGUUGGAAAAAGAAUAGUAAUAUACAAACAACAAUGGGAACGAAAGACAGAUAAACAAUGGUGUAAUUUCUUAAAACAGCGAAGAUUGAGUAGAAAGUUGAGAUAAACUUUCUAAAUUUCCAAGAAAACACUUCCAAGUUCCAAAUUGAUGAUAAGUAGUUCACAAGAAGUAGUAAUCAUCAUAUUAUAAUCAGAUGAUGAAAUGCUACGAGCAGAUUCAGAUUGAGACGAGAGCGAGAUUGCCUUACUGUGUGACGAGUAACGAGUGAUGACUAAUGAGCACGAGGUGAAGAGCAGAUUCAGAUUUGAAUUUUUCGACUUCUCAGUUCUCAGUUCUCAAUUCAAGAGAGAGACGACGACUUCUCUACCUCUAGUGGCUGCAGACAAUUGAGAAUUAGGAAAUAGA